AGAGUUUGAUCCUGGCUCAGAACGAACGCUGGCGGCGUGCUUAACACAUGCAAGUCGAACGCGAAAGUUUUCUUCGGAAAACGAGUAGAGUGGCGCACGGGUGAGUAACGCGUAAAUAAUCUACCCCUGCAUCCGGGAUAACCCACCGAAAGGUGUGCUAAUACCGGAUACGUUCUUUUAACCGCGAGGUUUUAAGAAGAUAGGUGGCCUCUGAUAUAAGCUACUGUGCGGGGAGGAGUUUGCGUACCAUUAGCUAGUUGGUAGGGUAAUGGCCUACCAAGGCAACGAUGGUUAGCGGGUCUGAGAGGAUGAUCCGCCACACUGGAACUGGAACACGGACCAGACUCCUACGGGAGGCAGCAGUGAGGAAUAUUGCGCAAUGGGGGCAACCCUGACGCAGCGACGCCGCGUGGAUGAUGAAGGCCUUCGGGUCGUAAAAUCCUGUCAGAUGGAAAGAAAUGUAUAUGGAUUAAUACUCCUUAUGCUUGACGGUACCAUCAAAGGAAGCACCGGCUAACUCCGUGCCAGCAGCCGCGGUAAUACGGAGGGUGCAAGCGUUGUUCGGAAUUACUGGGCGUAAAGCGCGCGUAGGUGGUCUGUUAUGU
RNAcentral lists this ribosomal RNA (605 nucleotides) under uncultured bacterium. RNAcentral's name for it is "bacterial SSU rRNA". It matches the Rfam family "Bacterial small subunit ribosomal RNA", at positions 8 to 588 of the family's 1533-position model. The record is from RNAcentral.